GAGUCGCUAGCUCAGUCGGUAGAGCAACUGCCUUUUAAGCAGUGGGUCCGGGGUUCAAUUCCCCGGCGACUCA
Molecule: transfer RNA, 73 nt
Filed under: Spirochaetota bacterium
Lineage: Bacteria; Pseudomonadati; Spirochaetota
Description: Spirochaetes bacterium (anaerobic digester metagenome) tRNA-Lys
Rfam family: tRNA
About the family: Transfer RNA (tRNA) molecules are approximately 80 nucleotides in length.
Source: RNAcentral